This 1450-nucleotide ribosomal RNA is filed under the name uncultured Bordetella sp. RNAcentral describes it as "partial 16S-23S ribosomal RNA intergenic spacer". It matches the Rfam family "Bacterial small subunit ribosomal RNA". Lineage: Bacteria; Pseudomonadati; Pseudomonadota; Betaproteobacteria; Burkholderiales; Alcaligenaceae. The record is from RNAcentral.
GGCGGGAUGCUUUACACAUGCAAGUCGAACGGCAGCACGGACUUCGGUCUGGUGGCGAGUGGCGAACGGGUGAGUAAUGUAUCGGAACGUGCCUAGUAGCGGGGAUAACUACGCGAAAGGUAGCUAAUACCGCAUACGCCCUUCGGGGAAAGCGGGGACCUCGGGCCUCGCAUCACCAGAGCGGCCGAUAUCGGAUUAGCUAGCUGGUGGGGUAACGGCUCACCAAGGCGACGAUCCGUAGCUGGUUUGAGAGGACGACCAGCCACACUGGGACUGAGACACGGCCCAGACUCCUACGGGAGGCAGCAGGGGGAAUUUUGGACAAUGGGGAAACUCCCUGAUCCAGCCAUCCCGCGUGUGCGAUGAAGGCCUUCGGGUUGUAAAGCACUUUUGGCAGGAAGAAACGGCACGGGAUAAUACCCCGUGCAACUGACGGUACCUGCAGAAUAAGCACCGGCUAACUACGUGCCAGCAGCCGCGGUAAUACGUAGGUGCAAGCGUUAAUCGGAAUUACUGGGCGUAAAGCGUGCGCAGGCGGUUCGGAAAGAAAGAUGUGAAAUCCCAGAGCUUAACUUUUGAACUGCAUUUUUAACUACCGAGCUAGAGUGUGUCAGAGGAGGUGGAAUUCCGCGUGUAGCAGUGAAAUGCGUAGAUAUGCGGAGGAACACCGAUGGCGAAGGCAGCCUCCUGGGAUAUCACUGACGCUCAUGCACGAAAGCGUGGGGAGCAACAGGAUUAGAUACCCUGGUAGUCCACGCCCUAAACGAUGUCAACUAGCUGUUGGGGCCUUCGGGCCCCUGGUAGCGCAGCUAACGCGUGAAGUUGACCGCCUGGGGAGUACGGUCGCAAGAUAAAACUCAAAGGAAUUGACGGGACCCGCACAAGCGGUGGAUGAUGUGGAUUAAUUCGAUGCAACGCGAAAACCUUACCUACCCUUGACAAUGUCUGAAUCCCGAAGAGAUUUGGGAGUGCUCGCAAGAGAACCGAAACACAGGUGCUGCAUGGCUGUCGUCAGCUCGUGUCGUGAGAUGUUGGGUUAAGUCCCAACGAGCGCAACCCUUGUCAUUAUUGCGUUAAUGAAAGGGCACUCUAAUGAGACUGCCGGUGACAAACCGGAGGAAGGUGGGAUGACGUCAAGUCCUCAUGGCCCCGGCGGGUAGGGCUUCACAUCGUCAUACAAUGGUCGGGACAGAGGGUCGCCAACCCGCGAGGGGGGAGCCAAUCCCAGAAACCCGAUCGUAGUCCGGAUCGCAGUCUGCAACUCGACUGCGUGAAGUCGGAAUCGCUAGUGUCUCCGCGGAUCAGCAUGUCGCGAUGAAUACGUUCCCGGGUCUUGUACACACCGCCCGUCACACCAUGGGAGUGGGUUUUACCAGAAGUAGUUAGCCUAACCGUAAGGAGGGCGAUUACCACGGUAGGAUUCAUGACUAGUGAAGUCGUAACAAGGUAG